AAUUUUGGCCAAUGGGGGAAACCCUGAUCCAGCCAUCCCGCGUGGAUGAGGAAGGCCUUCGGGUUGUAAAGUACUUUUGGCAGCGGAGAAAAGGUAUCUCCGAAUACUAGAUAAUUCUGCCUGUAUCUCAUGAAUAAGCACCGGCAACUUAGGUUCCAGCACCCGCGGCAAUACGUAGGGUGCAAGCUUUAAUCGGAAUUACUGGGCGUAAAGCGUGUGUAGGCGGUUCGGAAAGAAAGAUGUGAAAUCCCAGGGCUCAACCUUGGAACUGCAUUUUUAACUGCCGAGCUAGAGUAUGUCAGAGGGGGGUAGAAUUCCACGUGUAGCAGUGAAAUGCGUAGAUAUGUGGAGGAAUACCGAUGGCGACGGCAGCCCCCUGGGAUAAUACUGACGCUCAGACACGAAAGCGUGGAGAGCAAACAGG
RNAcentral lists this ribosomal RNA (424 nucleotides) under uncultured bacterium. Its description in RNAcentral is "partial 16S ribosomal RNA". It matches the Rfam family "Bacterial small subunit ribosomal RNA", at positions 360 to 776 of the family's 1533-position model. The record is from RNAcentral.